Molecule: ribosomal RNA, 2556 nt
Filed under: Triticum aestivum (bread wheat)
Lineage: Eukaryota; Viridiplantae; Streptophyta; Magnoliopsida; Poales; Poaceae
Description: partial small subunit ribosomal RNA
Source: RNAcentral
GUUUCAAUUGCUAACCUCCAGCUCCCGUGUACCAGGGAAAAGGGGAUCCAUGGAGAUGAGGAACUAAGGUGGAGAUGCGGCAAGGCGGAGAAGGAGUGCGGAGGAAGGGCGGCUUCGGGCUCGUGGCGGACCGGAUCCAGCGAGGGGGAGGCCGGAUCCGUCGGCUAGCGACGCGAGGAGCUCACGGCGGAGCUCGAGCGCCAUGGGAGUUAAGUAGGAAAAGGAGAGAGCGGCGGUGUCGCGGGUACAUGCGCACACUCGCGGACGCAGGCAAACGGCUCCGGCAGGAGACGUGGCGCACGACAGCGACAACGGCUCUCCUCAGGAGGACCUUGGGCAUUGAGAGGUUGAGCUGUGCGCUGCACCAAGGACAGAGCCCACUGACUGCUCGUCAUGGGCCACCGCCACCACGCCUUCGACGGGAUCGGACCUCCACCACUCCAGCAAGCAGGAGCAUCGUGGUGGUUGCGGUCAAUUGAAAUCUUAGUUUCUUCAUCUUCUUUGAGAUUAUGUUUUGUCUGCAUCUGAUAAUUAGGAUGGCCUCCUUUCUUUCAGGUUUGUACUGUUAAUUAAGAUGAACUUGGGUGUCGAGGAUGAUUUGGAAGAUUAUAUAUCCUGACCAGAUAAAAUCAGUGCUGCCGAUCUGAGUUGAUUUUCUUUUGAUAAAGGGAGCUUUAAUAUGUUAGUUGAUUUGGAAGAUUAUUUCUCUAGACCAGAUAAAAUCAAUGCUGCUGAUUUGAGUUGAUUCGGAAGAUUAUGUCUUCAGACCAGAUAAAAUCAGUGUUGCUGAUGUGAGUGCCUUUCCAUUAUGCUGAACAUUCUUUAUCAUUUGUUCUACUUAAGCAGAAGAAAUUUCAUUGCGUCAACUUAAUUAGAAAAUGAUAAUGAUUCUUUAAAUCCUUUACUCUUAAAAGUUUAUCAUAGUAAAUGUACCUUCAGCUCACCAUACAUUUGUUUCAUAUAUAUUGACAACUAUAAUAGCAGUAGCAAUGCGUGAUUAUGACAUAUGAAAAAGAUUGUUUUACUGUCAAUUUUCAGUAUAUUGUUAGUGACUAAUUAUUUCCUAAUUUUGUUUAGUUUUGUUGGAGAGAAUAUGUAAGGCUAAUGUUUGAGCAGGAGAGUGACAAGAUGCAAGAGUGAUACAUCCAAGCACUUGAUUUGAGUCAAACUUGGUUUGCUGUACAGAAUUCCACCGUAUUUGUCCACACAAAUAGUUCUUCAUAUUUAGUCAAAAUUGUUUUUCUCCAUAGUUCAGUGUCUACAUCUUUAUUCUCCGAAUAUAGUCAUACUCUCCAUUUUAUAAAGUGCAAAUGUACUUCGGCCAAUUGAUUUUAGUAGUCCUCCUGUUUGUACAGUAUGGAUGAAAUUUGACCUACCAGUAUACCUAUAAAGAUAUUAAGAUUGGAUACUUAAAAAUCCUAUACGAACUUUUGUCUUCAACAUGAUUUCACAAUAUAUAGUUUUAUGACAUUUCGGUAAAUAUAUUCAAGUAAAAUAUUGGUGGUUAAAGCCGGAUUAUGGAGAUCUUACCAAAACAAACAACUACUAGGAACUAGAUCAAUGUGUAUUUGCAAGUCAAGCUCAGCUUAUAGUGAUUGUGAAGUGAGAUUGAAUGCAUUUUGGCGAUGAAAUCACGUAGGAUCAAAGCGGAGGUGCCUACUUUCUACCAAGAAAUUGCAUCUUCAUCAAAUGUUUAUGUCUUCCUUUCUUCCUUGACAAUAUGAAUCUGAAUACUACUUUCUUUUCCUGGAUGUAGUUUCCACUAUAGUAUAUAGCUACCUUCCAUGUCUUUUGUGAACCCAGUUUGUAGUGUGCCACUCUGAAGCUGAAUUCUUCUUGUGUACCCAGUUUGUAGUGUGCCACUCUGAAGCUGAAUUCUUCCUGGGUGUAUCAUGCACCUGUGUCUUCUUGUUGUAUAUUCUCAAGUCUCAACUGCAGAUUCUCAAAGGCUUUGGACACCACUUGGACCUACAACAAAGAUUUGGACUAUUUAAUUUAGUGACAUUGAUCAUAGCCGCCUGCUGGUUUUCUUCACUCCCCAGCUCUAGAUUUUGGCGUACACGGUACACCGUGACAAUUCUAUCUUGGUUCUAGACAAAUAGGUUGCAUGUUCUUCUAUUAUCAUGAGUAUCAUGUUCCCACUUGCAGCUCGGUUAUUAAGUUAAAGCUAAAGUCCUGAUUGUACUGUCUAGAGGUGGAAUGGCUAAGCUCUCUUUAUGAUCCUUUCUGCCGAAUAUCUUGCAAAUGCCACACUAAAGUGCAGGAAAUUAUUAGGUGUGUGGGUAUCAGUCCACUAUGUUCUUAUGUCGAUGGAUCCGGGAAAUGUUGACACUUUUUGGUUUUGGUCACAAAAAUGUUUGUAUAGGAUAUCAUCUUGAAUAUAUGUAUUUCUAAAGUAAUACUACUUCCUAGUUAGUUAAUUGAAGUAUUGAUACAAUCAAUUGGAUGUUUUUCUAUAGUUAUGGAUCUAGCGGAAAAAUUGUUGUUUUCACAUCAUUGUUUUUCUCCAUAGUUCAUUGUCAGAAUCUUUAUUCUCCUAAUACAUUCAUAUUGUCC